GAACGCACAUUGCACUCUAUUUUUAUCGAGUAUGCCUGUUUGAGAAUCUAUAGUAUUCAUUUUAUGUUUUCUAUAACUUUUUUUGUUAUAGAGAAUUUAUAAAGAUAUGAAGUUUCCUAUAAUUAUUAUUAGGUACUUUGAAAACUAUAGCUUUUUAUAUUAUAGAAAUGUUUGAGUUUUUAUAUAUAACUAGUAGAAAAGUAUUCGAAUGAAACCUAGUUUCUCCUUAUGCUGAUUUAUACUUGUUGUUGUAUAGAAAUUAGUUUUUAUAAUAGAUAAGAGUUCAUAAACCAUAUAAAGUAUUUUAUCCUAGAUAAUUUUACUUUGAACCAUGGUCUCAAAUCAGGUAGGAAGACCCGCUGAACUUAAG
This 370-nucleotide unclassified non-coding RNA is filed under the name Rhizophydium globosum. RNAcentral describes it as "sequence contains 5.8S rRNA gene". Lineage: Eukaryota; Fungi; Chytridiomycota; Chytridiomycetes; Rhizophydiales; Rhizophydiaceae. The record is from RNAcentral.